Varanus komodoensis (Komodo dragon) is the source of this 84-nucleotide small nucleolar RNA. Ensembl annotates it as small nucleolar RNA, C/D box 92. Lineage: Eukaryota; Metazoa; Chordata; Lepidosauria; Squamata; Varanidae. The record is from Ensembl.
UUGCUGUGAUGAGACUUCCAAUUGUGGUUUCGACUGGCUGACAGUUGAAUGAGGACAUGAUAUUCCUUGGCUGUGUCUGAGCGC